This 471-nucleotide ribosomal RNA is filed under the name uncultured bacterium. RNAcentral describes it as "partial 16S ribosomal RNA". It matches the Rfam family "Bacterial small subunit ribosomal RNA", at positions 28 to 507 of the family's 1533-position model. The record is from RNAcentral.
GACGAACGCUGGCGGCGUGCUUAACACAUGCAAGUCGAACGAUGAAGCCUAGCUUGCUAGGUGGAUUAGUGGCGAACGGGUGAGUAAUACGUGAGUAACCUACCUUUAACUCUGGGAUAAGCCUGGGAAACUGGGUCUAAUACCGGAUACGACCAAUCUCCGCAUGGGGUGUUGGUGGAAAGCGUUAUGUAGUGGUUAUAGAUGGGCUCACGGCCUAUCAGCUUGUUGGUGAGGUAACGGCCCACCAAGGCGACGACGGGUAGCCGGCCUGAGAGGGUGACCGGCCACACUGGGACUGAGACACGGCCCAGACUCCUACGGGAGGCAGCAGUGGGGAAUAUUGCACAAUGGGCGCAAGCCUGAUGCAGCGACGCCGCGUGAGGGAUGACGGCCUUCGGGUUGUAAACCUCUGUUAGCAGGGAAGAAGAGAGAUUGACGGUACCUGCAGAGAAAGCGCCGGCUAACUACGUG